GUUUUCCCUGAAUCACUCCCA
RNAcentral lists this microRNA (21 nucleotides) under Populus trichocarpa (black cottonwood). Its description in RNAcentral is "ptc-miR6468-5p". The record is from miRBase by way of RNAcentral. Lineage: Eukaryota; Viridiplantae; Streptophyta; Magnoliopsida; Malpighiales; Salicaceae.